Molecule: ribosomal RNA, 166 nt
Filed under: uncultured bacterium
Lineage: Bacteria
Description: partial 16S rRNA
Rfam family: Bacterial small subunit ribosomal RNA
Source: RNAcentral
UAGGGAAUCUUCGGCAAUGGGGGCGAACCCUGACCGAGCAACGCCGCGUGAGUGAAGAAGGUUUUCGGAUCGUAAAGCUCUGUUGUAAGAGAAGAACGUGUGUGAGAGUGGAAAGUUCACACAGUGACAGUAACUUACCAGAAAGGGACGGCUAACUACGUGCCAG